Molecule: long non-coding RNA, 2238 nt
Organism: Macadamia integrifolia
Lineage: Eukaryota; Viridiplantae; Streptophyta; Magnoliopsida; Proteales; Proteaceae
Exons: 4
Source: RefSeq, a predicted model, not a curated record
UCAGUAGUAGUGUUAUUUAAAUAAAACAGUAGAAGGUCCCGUAUGUCCUUAUUAUAUGCAUCUCCUUGCAUCCUCUGCAUAAGCCUGGAUAGGGCACUGCAGAAAUCAUGUAUCAUAUAACAUAGAUAAGUGGUGGUAGAAAUAUGGGGACAAUUUCAGGUCUGGGUCGGCCAACAUGCUUUUUCUGUGGUUAUUUGUCCAACCUUGACCUGGUCUUAAGUCAGAUUUGGAACGAGGGGAUAUAUCUGUGCCCUGACCUGGUUACAUUCUGGGUGUCCAUGUCUGACCUGGUCUGUGAAAGCAUAACGUUUAAUGCAUACUAAUCAAAACAAAGAAUUAUUUUUCAUUUUUUUUGGGAUCAAUGGUAAGAGUUUAAUCAACACUAAAACAUGCUGAUUUCAAGAUUUGAACUCAAAACCUAGUGCUAGAAAACCAUGACCCUUACAGUCUUACGGACAAAACUACUAUUCAUGUCAUUUUAUUUAAUUUAAGUUAUUAUUUAUCAAAUAUUAAUAUUUCUAAUUCAGACAAAAACAGAUCAACUUGUCCAAAUUUCCAGACAUGGACUGGCGUAAACUGACCAAACCAACCCUCUUAAAUUUGGGUAACCUAUUCUUGCCUAGACCUGGAUUUUUAGGAAGAUUCUUGUCUGGACACUGGACCCAGUUUUAAUCAGGCAUAUGGUCAGACAGGAUGGUCAAAAUAUUGCCAACCCAGCAUAGAACAAAUAUGUGAGGAUGGUGUAUGAUUCAAUCUCUCUCUCUCUCUCUCUCUCUCUCUCUCUCUCUGCUUAUUCAGUCUCGUUUUGCAAAUUUUUUUGCAUGUCAGAAGAUAUUCAAGGUUAGUUCUAGGUGUUAAGUGUUGAAUCGAACAUAUCAGUCGACAGAGGUAUUCAUGGAGUGCCAGGUUGGCUAGUAAUGUUAGGUUGUUUCAAAUCUCUCUUGCAUUCAUUCUCUUUUGAGCUAUCUGACAUGGUGGUCCUCCAAAUCUCAAAAAGAAGCCAAUAAUUUUAGUGGUUGGUUGCUUCUUCAAUGAUCAAUUCUCUUUCAGCCAACUAUCUGACCUGGCGCUGGCAGUCCUCCAAACAUUUUGCAACGGCGCAUCUGUUUGGUGACAAAAAGAAGCCAUCAAAUUAACUGCAAGAGCUCUUGCACACUGGAAGCCUUAGAUGGGGUUCUUGAUCCCUGGGUUUGUGUUAUUGGAUUUAGAUGCAUAACUGAUGACUCUGUCAUUUUCUUUCAAACCUGAAACAUUGAUUUCAGACGCAUUAGACCACAUUUUUGUUAGCUGAGAGAGUAUGAGAUGCAUUAACAUGGUUCUGUUUCUUGAUUCAUGUUUAUGGAGUGUUGCUGGUAGAGCUUUUUCUAAUGGAAUUGUCAAAUCAAGGUCCAAAUAGAAGUGGACCUCAAGGUUUUUCAUAUUUAUGCUAUAUGGUGUAGGAGGAUAAUCUUUAAAUGUAUUCAUGAAUUUCUGUGAACUACAAUGAUCAUCGAUUUUCUAUUGUAGCUGGUUGAUAUUUUACCAGUUGGAGUGAAGUGUUCUGCAGUUUCUACUUUCUUGUUGGAUUGUAAUGAUCCAUUGCACUCACAAAUGUUUCUGAUUUUGUUUUUUCUGUAGUUACCUGGCUGAACACGGAGGAUUAAUACCUAAUUUAAAUCUCCAGCUUGUGACCUCUUAGUUCAGGCUGAGAAUAUUAUCAUUUUCCUGUCUCUUGUUGUUUUGAUCAGUGGAGUUGUUGAGGAAUAGAUUCUUUUGAAAUUUUUACUGGAGAGACAAAUGGUUCCGAACCAGAUGUUGCAUCAUAUUCUCAAGACCAGCAUCUCCUGCUCCUUGAUCACUUGAUGCAUCUAGGGGGUCACUGUGCUCUCAUAGAUAGUAAAUUCUAGCUGUAGAUGGAAGCUUUUUAAUGGUGUGUGGGAGGUCUGAACCCAUCAAAGGAACCUGCUUCCAUUCCAUUCUUGGUGCCUGCAACCCCUACUAAGGAUGGGUCGCUGUUGUGCUUGUUAAUUCCACUCCACACUGUCCCUCGGAGUCGAGACCAACAAAGGAGGAACCCUUAGUUUUUAGUUAUGGAUCUACAAGGAGUCUGCUGGAAUUGAAAACCAGAAACAUCUUGCAAGAGGUGCAAUAUGCAAUGGACCAAGGAUACGAGAAAGUUGAACUAUGGCUGGGGUGAUUGUGGCUUGGUUGCAGCAUCGAUCAGGAUAGAUAGUCGUUCGUGUGCUUUAAUUUUUUUUU